RNAcentral lists this small RNA (142 nucleotides) under Flavobacterium succinicans. RNAcentral describes it as "Flavo-1 RNA". It matches the Rfam family "Flavo-1 RNA". Lineage: Bacteria; Pseudomonadati; Bacteroidota; Flavobacteriia; Flavobacteriales; Flavobacteriaceae. The record is from Rfam by way of RNAcentral.
CCCUAGCCCUGAUGGGAGUGGAAAUCCUCUGGCUCGGGUGGCUAUUUUUGGCGGGACGGAAAGAGCGACCUAAGAAGCUCCUUUGCGGCCCAGCCAAAAAAGCCAACCGAGGCGGAGAUUGUAACGGACAGCAGGUUUAAGC